Long non-coding RNA from Drosophila innubila, 3184 nucleotides. RefSeq lists it as uncharacterized. NCBI's taxonomy places the organism in Eukaryota, Metazoa, Arthropoda, Insecta, Diptera, Drosophilidae. The record is from RefSeq and is a predicted model, not a curated record. The transcript is spliced from 4 exons.
CUAUACUGUUUUAUAAAUUGCAAAACAUUACCAAUUCAUGCACACGAAAACAUGCACAGAAUACAUUAAUCCUUUGCUAAGUCAUUUUUUCCUUUCUUCCUGAUCACGAGUAAAAGAGUAAUUACUGAUUGAAAUUACCUGCCAAAUGCCCACAAUGUUUUCAUAAGCUUGGACACAGUGUGCUUGCACCCACACACAUGCAUAUGUGAAUUAUGUAUGAAAUUAAGUAUGCAAGAAUGUGUGUGUGUGUGAGUGUAUCAUUUGAGAGAUCGAGGCAACCGUUACUUGGCUGCUGUGCGAGGCAGGGGCAGAGGCAGAGGCAGAGGCAAGGCGAGGCUUCGUGCGGCGCUUGCAGCACACAAAGAAUUCUUUUUCAAUUUGGCUGUGAAACAACGAGCAACGAUUGCCCCCAAAAGCUGAGCUGCCGUAAACCAGAAAAACAAACAAACAUACAUACGUACAUGCUGUAACUGUGUAACUUAUUAACUGAGUGCAAAUUAAAUUAAAAUUGAAACCAAUCAAACAUAUGUAUAUCAUAUCAACUGCAUAUUGCUUAGCGUGUGAAAAGCGAAUGCAGGAAACGCUAGACUUGCCAAACAGUAAACAAUAAAUAAAUAAAAAAAAAAGCAAACACAAAAAAAGAAAAGCAAACAAAACGAAGCAAAUCAAAAAUCAAAAAAGCAGAACCCCCAACCCGACAGCAAUAGCAACAACAAAAACUAAAACAAACAAAUAAACUCUGCUUGCAAGUGCCUUGAAUGCGUGUGCGUAUGUGUGCGUAUGUAAAUGAGAUAAGAACAAGACGCACCAAAGCUUACACACAGCUUCAGAAUCUACUCAGUUAACGUCGCCGUCGCCGUCAACGUCUGCAUCUCUGUUUGUGUCUGAGUCGGAAUCGGAGUCUAAUUAUAGCACACAGCUCGCUAAAAAUACAGUUCACAUCAACUCACACAAACACUGGCAAACAUAUCAACAGGCAAACCCAAACGAUACCCAACUAAUUCAGUGCGUGGGAGCAGGCGAGAGAGCCACACACAAUACAAAAGGGUGAGAGGCAAAAGCCUGAGAGAGCGCGCCUUAAGAGCGAGAGUGAGAGCGUAAGCGUGAGCAUAAGUUUUGAAUUUCGUAAUAAGCGAACGAACACGACGACAGCGCAGCGGCAGCUGAUUGUUUAUUUGAUAUUUGCCGAUAACGAUACCGAAAAGUCGUGAAGCAAUUGCAACGUACUCGAUCAUCGAUUGACUCGCUGAUUAAACAAAGCACAAAGGGUGCAAGUUCAAAAAAAAAAAAAAUAAAAAAAAAAAGAAUAAAGACAACUGGCGAAAAUUCGCCACGCUUAGUCAGCAAAACAGCCCCCUUCCCCAGCCACUGCCAAGCAUUCCCUGCAGCGAUUGGGCUCCAGAGAGAAAGACUAAAAGAGAGGGGAAGAGUGAAAGAGAGCGGCAGAGAGAUAGAGAGAAAGAAAGAGAGAGAGAAGCUAAGAGCAAGCGCGUUUAACCAGACGAUUGAUCAACGCUGCGGAGCUUCAUCAUCAAAGCGCGUUCCAAAUCCAAGCCAGAAGCAUCAUCGUUAGGUCGUGCGCUCGACCGCUUUCUCAAGUCCUCGAUUAAGAUCCACACGCAGUUCCACUUCCACAUAACGGCAUAUUCACGAAAUGCAACAAAAUCGCCAAACAUCGCGUGUGAACAUCAAUAAGAAUAAUAAUAAUAAUACUCGUCGUACACCAAAGACUCGCCCGCACACUGUCCCUGACUCUCUGGUCUUCACUGUAAUCAUAAUCGACACCAAUUAGCUACAGCUCUACAUAUAUAACUAUUAUAUCAUCAUUAUUAUUAUUAUUAAUUGUAAAACAUUUAUUUUUUUGUUUGCACGAACUAUCGUAUCUCCAAACAAGGACAAUUUGUUAUUGUUUUUUUUUUUUUUAUUAUAUUUUUUAUUUUUGUUGUUGUGACAAAUAAUUGUGAUUUCUGAAACUGUGUGAUUGCAAAAGAACGAGACCAAAAUAAUAACAAUUAAAAGAAAGUUCCUUAAGCAACGUGAUAAGUUUAAAACUGAAAGCCGUGCACAGGAUCAUCGUGUGAACCAGCUCAAAAGCCAUAUCGGAGUCCAAAGGAAACCAUAUUUUAUCAAAGCGCAUCAAGUAUAGCAUGCAAAAAUGAUUUUCCCGCUGCCAAAUUCAUGUGUUCUGCCUCUGUUUGCCACAAUUGUGUUUGUGGCAUUCUGUCUGUCUCGGGUUUCCGGAAUUCCCGUUAGUCAACCUUCUGACAAUACCGAAUACAAGAGAUUUUGCAGCAUGAAUCUAGCCGAUACCAUAGAUCGGGUCUGUCACGGUCAAACAAAAUCUCUGGGUGAACUCUAUCCUGAAAGCGUUGGGCAUCGCAGCAAACGUUUCAGUCCCGAUGAGACCUACUUUAGGCCACUACAUAAUGGUCCAGUCCAUUUAUGCUGCCUUCGUUCGUGUACCUAUGCCGAGUUACGUCGAUACUGUGCGGACGAUGGAACCACACGAUUCCCCGAUAAUGGGCAUCCAUAGAUAGUGCUUCUUAUAAAAGCCUCACCCUCCCCACACACCUCCUCCUCCCAUAUAAGCCCACACAUAACACACACACAGACACACACACACACACACACACAGACACCCCAUACACUAAGUAUAUUGUACUAAUUUAAGCUAUGCACUAAUAAAAAUUUAUACAAUUAUGAGAGCAAUACGAGUACAGUACGAACACCCUAUAAAACAGGGUUUAUUUAUAGCGAAUUGAGAUUAAUGCAAUCUAUGCCAAUUGAUAAGAACUUGAGUUAUAUCCAGUUUCGUUUAGUCUCAUCUCAAUAGUCGCUGAUUUACUCACAACAUUUUCUAACACAAACUAGAAGAGAUCUCUAGUAGAUUCUCUAACAUCUCUCCCCAUAGAUCAUGCUCCCUUUUCUCAUACUCUGAUGGGAAAUCUUAUGUAAUAAAGUUUAAGACAAAUCUUAAAACCAAAAGUAGCACUAAAUUAUAAGUCUGAUUGAUUAUGUAUUGAAAAAAAGCUGACUAAAUAAUGCCAUAAAAUACCCUGUAAUUAAUAAGUCAUCCCAUAAAAUUUCUAUGCUGUUAAACUAUUCAAAAUUUUAAACACACUUUAUCAAUUCCUUUGAAAGCAUUUACAAUAAAGAAAAACCAACUAGUGCAUACCCUGUUCUA